Molecule: ribosomal RNA, 253 nt
Filed under: uncultured bacterium
Lineage: Bacteria
Description: partial 16S ribosomal RNA
Rfam family: Bacterial small subunit ribosomal RNA
Source: RNAcentral
UCCGGAGGGUGCAAUCGUUAUUCGGAAUUAUUGGGCGUAAAGGGAGUGUAGGCGGCCAGAUAAGUCAGAGGUGAAAGCCCGGGGCUCAACCCCGGAAGUGCCUUUGAAACUAUCUGGCUUGAGUGCGGGAGAGGAAAGCGGAAUUCCCAGUGUAGAGGUGAAAUUCGUAGAUAUUGGGAGGAACACCGGUGGCGAAGGCGGCUUUCUGGACCGACACUGACGCUGAGGCGCGAAAGCGUGGGGAGCAAACAGG